RNAcentral lists this ribosomal RNA (255 nucleotides) under uncultured bacterium. RNAcentral's name for it is "partial 16S ribosomal RNA". It matches the Rfam family "Bacterial small subunit ribosomal RNA", at positions 524 to 776 of the family's 1533-position model. The record is from RNAcentral.
UACGUAGGGUGCGAAGCGUUGUCCGGAAUUAUUGGGCGUAAAGAGCUCGUAGGCGGUCUGUCGCGUCGGCUGUGAAAAGCCUGGGGCUCAACUCCGGGCCUGCAGCCGAUACGGGCAGACUAGAAUUCGGUAGGGGAGACUGGAAUUCCUGGUGUAGCGGUGAAAUGCGCAGAUAUCAGGAGGAACACCGGUGGCGAAGGCGGGUCUCUGGGCCGAUAUUGACGCUGAGGAGCGAAAGCGUGGGGAGCAAACAGG